RNAcentral lists this transfer RNA (64 nucleotides) under Bathymodiolus japonicus. RNAcentral's name for it is "tRNA-Glu". The record is from RNAcentral. Lineage: Eukaryota; Metazoa; Mollusca; Bivalvia; Mytilida; Modiolidae.
GCUUAUAUGGUGUAUCAAGCACAUAAGGUUUUCAUUCUUAGGGAGGGAUUAUUUUCUAUAAGCU